AUAAGCAUAUUAAUAGGGAGAAAAGAAACUAAACAAGGAUUUUCUUAGUAGCGGCGAGCGAAAAGAAAUCAGUUCAGCACUAAGUCACUUUGUCUAUAUGGCAAAUGUGAGAUGCAGUGUAUGGAGCGUCAAUAUUCUAGUAUGAGAAAUUAACGAUUUAAGUCCUUCUUAAAUGAGGCCAUUUACCCAUAGAGGGUGCCAGGCCCGUAUAACGUUAAUGAUUACUAAUGUUUCCAAAGAGUCGUGUUGCUUGAUAGUGCAGCACUAAGUGGGUGGUAAACUCCAUCUAAAACUAAAUAUAACCAUGAGACCGAUAGUAAACAAGUACCGUGAGGGAAAGUUGAAAAGAACUCUGAAUAGAGAGUUAAACAGUACGUGAAACUGCUUAGAGGUUAAGCCCGAUGAACCUGAAUAUCCGUUAUGGAAAAUUCAUCAUUAGACUUGUAGUAUUUAAACAAUAUUAUGAUAAUAGUGUGCAUUUUUUCCAUAUAAGGACAUUGUAAUCUAUUAACAUAACUAAAUUUAUCAUAAAAUAUGGCUUAUAGUUUAUUCAAAUUAUUAUGCUUGCAUUUAACAUAGAAUAAAUCAUUAAUUUGAUAAAGUGCUGAUAGAUUUAUAUGACUACAGUGCGUUAAUUUUUCGGAAUUAUAUAAUGGCAUAAUUAUCAUUGAUUUUUGUGUUUAUUAUAUGCACUUGUACGAUUAACAAUGCGAAAGAUUCAGGAUACCUUCGGGACCCGUCUUGAAACACGGACCAAGGAGUCUAACAUAUGUGCAAGUUAUUGGGAUAUAAACCUAAUAGCGUAAUUAACUUGACUAAUAAUGGGAUUAGUUUUUUAACUAUUUAUAGCUAAUUAACACAAUCCCGGGGCGUUCUAUAUAGUUAUGUAUAAUAAUAUUUAUAUUAUUAUGCCUCUAACUGGAACGUACCUUGAGCAGAUAUGCUGUGACCCGAAAGAUGGUGAACUAUACUUGAUCAGGUUGAAGUCAGGGGAAACCCUGAUGGAAGACCGAAACAGUUCUGACGUGCAAAUCGAUUGUCAGAAUUGAUAGGGCGAAAGACCAAUCGAACCAUCUAGUAGCUGGUUCCUUCCGAAGUUUCCCUCAGGAUAGCUGGUGCAUUUUAAUGUUAUAUAAAAAUCUUAUCUGGUAAAGCGAAUGAUUAGAGGCCUUAGGGUCGAAACGAUCUUAACCUAUUCUCAAACUUUAAAUGGGUAAGAACCUUAACUUUCUUGAUAUGAAGUUUAAGGUUAUGAUAUAAUGUGCCCAGUGGGCCACUUUUGGUAAGCAGAACUGGCGCUGUGGGAUGAACCAAACGUAAUGUUACGGUGCCCAAAUUAACAACUCAUGCAGAUACCAUGAAAGGCGUUGGUUGCUUAAAACAGCAGGACGGUGAUCAUGGAAGUCGAAAUCCGCUAAGGAGUGUGUAACAACUCACCUGCCGAAGCAACUAGCCCUUAAAAUGGAUGGCGCUUAAGUUGUAUACCUAUACAUUACCGCUAAAGUAGAUGAUUUAUAUUACUUGUAAUAUAAAUUUUGAAACUUUAGUGAGUAGGAAGGUACAAUGGUAUGCGUAGAAGUGUUUGGCGUAAGCCUGCAUGGAGCUGCCAUUGGUACAGAUCUUGGUGGUAGUAGCAAAUAAUCGAAUGAGACCUUGGAGGACUGAAGUGGAGAAGGGUUUCGUGUGAACAGUGGUUGAUCACGAGUUAGUCGGUCCUAAGUUCAAGGCGAAAGCCGAAAAUUUUCAAGUAAUAAAAUGACUAUAUAUUACAAAAAUGCCAAUUAAUAUACUUGAAUAAUUUUGAACGAAAGGGAAUACGGUUCCAAUUCCGUAACCUGUUGAGUAUCCGUUUGUUAUUAAAUAUGGGCCUCGUGCUCAUCCUGGCAACAGGAACGACCAUAAAGAAGCCGUCGAGAGAUAUCGGAAGAGUUUUCUUUUCUGUUUUAUAGCCGUACUACCAUGGAAGUCUUUCGCAGAGAGAUAUGGUAGAUGGGCUAGAAGAGCAUGACAUAUACUGUUGUGUCGAUAUUUUCUCCUCGGACCUUGAAAAUUUAUGGUGGGGAUACGCAAACUUCUCAACAGGCCGUACCAAUAUCCGCAGCUGGUCUCCAAGGUGAAGAGUCUCUAGUCGAUAGAAUAAUGUAGGUAAGGGAAGUCGGCAAAUUAGAUCCGUAACUUCGGGAUAAGGAUUGGCUCUGAAGAUUGAGAUAGUCGGGCUUGAUUGGGAAACAAUAACAUGGUUUAUGUGCUCGUUCUGGGUAAAUAGAGUUUCUAUCAUUUAUGUUAGUUGCUUGUUCCCCGAUAGUUUAGUUACGUAGCCAAUUGUGGAACUUUCUUGCUAAAAUUUUAAGAAUACUAGUUGGGUCAAACCAAUUAGUUCUUAUUAAUUAUAACGAUUAUCAAUUAACAAUCAAUUCAGAACUGGCACGGACUUGGGGAAUCCGACUGUCUAAUUAAAACAAAGCAUUGUGAUGGCCCUAGCGGGUGUUGACACAAUGUGAUUUCUGCCCAGUGCUCUGAAUGUCAAAGUGAAGAAAUUCAAGUAAGCGCGGGUCAACGGCGGAUAACUAUGACUCUUAAGGUAGCCAAAUGCCUCGUCAUCUAAUUAGUGACGCGCAUGAAUGGAUUAACGAGAUUCCUACUGUCCCUAUCUACUAUCUAGCGAAACCACAGCCAAGGGAACGGGCUUGGAAUAAUUAGCGGGAAAGAAGACCCUUUGAGCUUGACUCUAAUCUGGCAGUGUAAGAGACAUAAGAGGUGUAGAAAAUGGAGAUAUUAGACUUCGGUUUGGUAUCGACAAUGAAACCACUACUCUUAUUGUUUCCUUACUUACUUGAUUAAAUGGAACGUGUAUCAUUUCCUAGCCAUUAUACGGAUAUAUUUAUUAUAUCUUAUGGUAUUGGGUUUUGAUGCAAGCUUCUUGAUCAAAGUAUCACGAGUUUGUUAUAUAAUCGCAAACAAAUUCUUAAUGAGACGAUGCAUUUAUGUAUUUU
RNAcentral lists this ribosomal RNA (2993 nucleotides) under Drosophila serrata. Its description in RNAcentral is "eukaryotic LSU rRNA". It matches the Rfam family "Eukaryotic large subunit ribosomal RNA", at positions 34 to 2590 of the family's 3401-position model. Lineage: Eukaryota; Metazoa; Arthropoda; Insecta; Diptera; Drosophilidae. The record is from RNAcentral.